Molecule: unclassified non-coding RNA, 1282 nt
Filed under: Hevea brasiliensis (rubber tree)
Lineage: Eukaryota; Viridiplantae; Streptophyta; Magnoliopsida; Malpighiales; Euphorbiaceae
Source: RNAcentral
GGUGAUAGAAUUACAAGCACGAUAUAUUUGACUUCAAUACCACCUUAUUUAUUCACAUAAUGAGUGUUCUACAUCAGCACAAGCACCACAUCUAUAAUGCAAAAAAUCACAAAGAAACCAGAACAUUCCCCUGAGCUUCCAAAAUCACAUUCUAUACCAACAUCUAUAGCUAAUGGGUUAUCUUGACUCACAGUCUGCUAAGAACUAGAACACUCACAAUGUCAUGCAGAGAAAGAAAAGGACCCAACAUACACAUCCAUGGAACAGAAUCUUCCUAGGACCUUGAUAUCAUACUACAGGAACGAGCCAAUCGAAUCGUCAGUCUGCCUCCAUCAAUGGUUGCCUCUCGCUCAACUGCCUCCUGGUUAUACUGUUUCCUGCACCCUGGACAACGCCCAUCUUCCUCGAGAAUCUUCUUGUGACAAAAGAGGCAAAGCCUAAAUCCGCACGAACAAGGGAGAAAACUCGUGUCUGUAUAAUCCAAAUCUUCACAGCAUAUGGGACACAAAGUGGGUGUGGCUAAAGUUUUACAUCCCCAUACAGAGUCCCUCCUACAACGCCGUUCAGAAUUCAUUGGGAAACUAUGCUGCUUCGACAAAUUUGGCAAACCCGACGGACGGAAUGUAUCAUCUGGCCUCCAUGCCCGGCAACUGAGAGGAGGUCUAGGUGUCAAUCCUCUGGCAUUACACUCCUGCUUUGAUCUAUCAAUCCCUGAACCCUGCCUUUCAGAAACCUCUUGCCUAGAACUCAUAUGUGUCAUGUUCUCAUUCCUCUCAAAAUGUGAAUCCAAACUGGGAUUUUGCUGCUCCUGUUUUUCAUCAAUGGCAGCCAGCGCAUCGGCAACAGCCUCCCAAUCAUCCAAGCAAUCAUCCUCUACUUCUUCAUCUUCUUCACUCACACUCCCUGAACAACAUCCACCACUGCUACUGCUGCUACUACUGCCUCUACUGCUUCCUGUGAAAUUAGUCCCUGAAUCAUUUCCUCCCAAAACACUACUGGUGUGGCUUGUAGGUGAAUCAAAAUCACUGUAGUGGUUUAAGGAUCCUUCAUUGUCCUCUUCACCUAUUGGCUUUAUCUGCAAUUUCUUAAUCAGUCGUUCCCUCUCAUUCGCAACAUUCUUCGCUGAACCAUGAGUUCCUCCAGUGUUUUGUUCCUCCUUCAAAACUUUGUUCUUCACUUGUGAAAGCCACUGCUCACGUCGAGCAUCUAGCUUGCACUGCUUCAACUUCGCCAACCGAUUAACCCUUUUUUUCUUGGCAAAAUCUUUGGGGUUAGAGGAAGC